UUACAGCCUAACACAUGCAAGUCGAACGGCAGCACAGGAGAGCUUGCUCUUUGGGUGGCGAGUGGCGGACGGGUGAGGAAUACAUCGGAAUCUACUCUGUCGUGGGGGAUAACGUAGGAAACUUACGCUAAUACCGCAUACGACCUACGGGUGAAAGCAGGGGAUCUUCGGACCUUGCGCGAUUGAAUGAGCCGAUGUCGGAUUAGCUAGUUGGCGGGGUAAAGGCCCACCAAGGCGACGAUCCGUAGCUGGUCUGAGAGGAUGAUCAGCCACACUGGAACUGAGACACGGUCCAGACUCCUACGGGAGGCAGCAGUGGGGAAUAUUGGACAAUGGGCGCAAGCCUGAUCCAGCCAUACCGCGUGGGUGAAGAAGGCCUUCGGGUUGUAAAGCCCUUUUGUUGGGAAAGAAAUCCAGCCGGCUAAUACCUGGUUGGGAUGACAGUACCCAAAGAAUAAGCACCGGCUAACUUCGUGCCAGCAGCCGCGGUAAUACGAAGGGUGCAAGCGUUACUCGGAAUUACUGGGCGUAAAGCGUGCGUAGGUGGUUAUUUAAGU
This 557-nucleotide ribosomal RNA is filed under the name uncultured bacterium. Its description in RNAcentral is "bacterial SSU rRNA". It matches the Rfam family "Bacterial small subunit ribosomal RNA", at positions 42 to 588 of the family's 1533-position model. The record is from RNAcentral.